Molecule: small nuclear RNA, 160 nt
Organism: Mastomys coucha (southern multimammate mouse)
Lineage: Eukaryota; Metazoa; Chordata; Mammalia; Rodentia; Muridae
Product: U1 spliceosomal RNA
Exons: 1
Source: RefSeq, a predicted model, not a curated record
CUACUUACCUGGCGGGGGAGAUACCAUGAUCAUGAAGGUUGUUUUUCCAGGGCAAGGCUUAUCCAUUGCACACCUGAUGUGCUGACCCCUGUAAUUUACCCAAGUGCAGGGAAACUCAACUGCAUAAUUUGUGGUAGUAGGGGACUGCUAUCAUGCUGGG